AGAGUUUGAUUCUGGCUCAGGAUGAACGCUGGCGGCGUGCCUAACACAUGCAAGUCGAGCGGAGAUAAGUUGAAGCCUAGCGAUUCUUAUCUUAGCGGCGGAUGGGUGAGUAACACGUGGGUAACCUGCCCUGGUACUGGGGAAUAACAGCUGGAAACGGCUGUUAAUGCCGCAUAUGCGCACGGAGCCGCAUGACUCUGGGCGGAAAGAUUUAUCGGUACAGGAUGGGCCCGCGCCGGAUUAACUAGUUGGCGGGGUAACGGCCCACCAAGGUGAUGAUCCGUAGCCGACCUGAGAGGGCGACCGGCCACAUUGGGACUGAGACACGGCCCAAACUCCUACGGGAGGCAGCAGUGGGGGAUAUUGCACAAUGGGGGAAACCCUGAUGCAGCGACGCCGCGCGAAGGAUGACGUAUUUCGGUAUGUAAACUUCUAUCAGCGGGGAAGAAGAUGACGGUACCCGACUAAGAAGCCCCGGCUAACUACGUGCCAGCCGCAGC
RNAcentral lists this ribosomal RNA (500 nucleotides) under uncultured bacterium. Its description in RNAcentral is "bacterial SSU rRNA". It matches the Rfam family "Bacterial small subunit ribosomal RNA", at positions 8 to 518 of the family's 1533-position model. The record is from RNAcentral.